Molecule: ribosomal RNA, 681 nt
Filed under: Triticum aestivum (bread wheat)
Lineage: Eukaryota; Viridiplantae; Streptophyta; Magnoliopsida; Poales; Poaceae
Description: partial small subunit ribosomal RNA
Source: RNAcentral
UACAAGAAGGUUAAUGGCAAGGAAAGAGGACCCUCUUUGUUCCAUGAUCUUAGCCUUGCCGGCAAGGCCGUUGUUGACGGUGGCAUGAGGUUGGGCCAUAUCGAACCAUCGCCUUGCCCGAGGAUGGGUGAUCCAAGGCCACCGGGUGAGGACGAGAAUGCUCAUCUGAAGAAAGGGAUCAAGUUUGGUUGUUUGCAAGAUUUCAAGAUAUGGUUGAGUGACUAUGCCAUUCGGAACCAUAGGCCGUUCGUUGUUGGUCAUUCCAACAAAAAAUUGCGCUACACCAUCAAAUGUGACAAAGAAGGUUGCCCAUGGAAGGUCCAUGGAAGAAAGAUCAAGGAAACCGGGCAAUGGGAGUUGAAGAGUUGUGUGGCCACCCACAAGUGCAUACCGCCGGAGAAAGUGGACCGAAGCAAGGGACACCGCCAACUCAUGUCCGAGUAUCUAGGCUAUAAAUUGUUGAAUGAGAUAUCCCAUGAUCCAACCGUGAAGGUGAAAUUCCUCAUGAGUUCGGUCUUCGAAAGAUUCGGGUACCCGGUCAAGUAUGGAAAGGCGUGGAUGGCGAAGGAAAACGCUAUAAGGAUGUUGCAUGGUGAUUAUGAGGCCGCAUAUAACAUUCUUCCAAAGACGUUGGCAGCCAUUGCUCAUCAGAAAAUGCACCAAAAAGCCACGGACCGAUGG